RNAcentral lists this ribosomal RNA (468 nucleotides) under uncultured bacterium. RNAcentral describes it as "partial 16S ribosomal RNA". It matches the Rfam family "Bacterial small subunit ribosomal RNA", at positions 28 to 507 of the family's 1533-position model. The record is from RNAcentral.
GACGAACGCUGGCGGCGUGCUUAACACAUGCAAGUCGAACGGAAAGGCCCUGCUUUUGUGGGGUGCUCGAGUGGCGAACGGGUGAGUAACACGUGAGUAACCUGCCCUUGACCUUGGGAUAACUUCAGGAAACUGGGGCUAAUACCGGAUAGGAGCUCCUGCUGCAUGGUGGGGGUUGGAAAGUUUCGGCGGUUGGGGAUGGACUCGCGGCUUAUCAGCUUGUUGGUGGGGUAGUGGCUUACCAAGGCUUUGACGGGUAGCCGGCCUGAGAGGGUGACCGGCCACAUUGGGACUGAGAUACGGCCCAGACUCCUACGGGAGGCAGCAGUGGGGAAUAUUGCACAAUGGGCGGAAGCCUGAUGCAGCAACGCCGCGUGCGGGAUGACGGCCUUCGGGUUGUAAACCGCUUUCGCCUGCGACGAAGCGUGAGUGACGGUAAUGGGUAAAGAAGCACCGGCUAACUACGUG